RNAcentral lists this ribosomal RNA (446 nucleotides) under uncultured bacterium. RNAcentral describes it as "partial 16S ribosomal RNA". It matches the Rfam family "Bacterial small subunit ribosomal RNA", at positions 338 to 795 of the family's 1533-position model. The record is from RNAcentral.
CCUACGGGGGGCAGCAGUCGAGAAUCAUUCACAAUGGGGGAAACCCUGAUGGUGCGACGCCGCGUGGGGGAAUGAAGGUCUUCGGAUUGUAAACCCCUGUCAUGUGGGAGCAAAUUAAAAAGAUAGUACCACAAGAGGAAGAGACGGCUAACUCUGUGCCAGCAGCCGCGGUAAUACAGAGGUCUCAAGCGUUGUUCGGAAUCACUGGGCGUAAAGCGUGCGUAGGCUGUUUCGUAAGUCGUGUGUGAAAGGCGCGGGCUCAACCCGCGGACGGCAGAUGAUACUGCGAGACUAGAGUAAGGGAGGGGGAACCGGAAUUCUCGGUGUAGCAGUGAAAUGCGUAGAUAUCGAGAGGAACACUCGUGGCGAAGGCGGGUUCCUGGACAUUAACUGACGCUGAGGCACGAAGGCCAGGGGAGCGAAAGGGAUUAGAUACCCUAGUAGUC